This 245-nucleotide ribosomal RNA is filed under the name uncultured bacterium. RNAcentral's name for it is "partial 16S ribosomal RNA". It matches the Rfam family "Bacterial small subunit ribosomal RNA", at positions 524 to 768 of the family's 1533-position model. The record is from RNAcentral.
UACGUAGGGUGCGAGCGUUAAUCGGAAUUACUGGGCGUAAAGCGUGCGCAGGCGGUUUUGUAAGACAGGCGUGAAAUCCCCGGGCUCAACCUGGGAAUUGCGCUUGUGACUGCAAGGCUAGAGUGCGUCAGAGGGGGGUAGAAUUCCACGUGUAGCAGUGAAAUGCGUAGAGAUGUGGAGGAAUACCGAUGGCGAAGGCAGCCCCCUGGGACGUGACUGACGCUCAUGCACGAAAGCGUGGGGAG